UACGGAGGGGGCUAGCGUUAUUCGGAAUUACUGGGCGUAAAGCGCACGUAGGCGGCUUUGUAAGUUAGAGGUGAAAGCCCGGAGCUCAACUCCGGAACUGCCUUUAAGACUGCAUCGCUCGAAUCCGGGAGAGGUGAGUGGAAUUCCGAGUGUAGAGGUGAAAUUCGUAGAUAUUCGGAAGAACACCAGUGGCGAAGGCGGCUCACUGGACCGGCAUUGACGCUGAGGUGCGAAAGCGUGGGGAGCAAACAGG
This 253-nucleotide ribosomal RNA is filed under the name uncultured bacterium. Its description in RNAcentral is "partial 16S ribosomal RNA". It matches the Rfam family "Bacterial small subunit ribosomal RNA", at positions 524 to 776 of the family's 1533-position model. The record is from RNAcentral.